Molecule: ribosomal RNA, 407 nt
Filed under: uncultured bacterium
Lineage: Bacteria
Description: partial 16S ribosomal RNA
Rfam family: Bacterial small subunit ribosomal RNA
Source: RNAcentral
AUUGAACGCUGGCGGCAGGCCUAACACAUGCAAGUCGAGCGGAGCGGCGGACGGGUGAGUAAUGCCUAGGAAUCUGCCUGGUAGUGGGGGAUAACUUCCGGAAACGGGCGCUAAUACCGCAUACUAUCAGAUGAGCCUAGGUCGGCUUAGCUAGUUGGUGGGGUAAAGGCCUACCAAGGCGACGAUCCCUAGCUGGUCUGAGAGGAUGACAAGCCACACUGGAACGGAGACACGGUCCAGACGCCUACGGGAGGCAGCAGUGGGGAAUCUUGGACAAUGGGCGCAAGCCUGAUGAAGCCAUGCCGCGUGUAUGAAGAAGGCGUUCGGGUUGUAAAGUACUUUCAGCGGGGAGGCGUUACCCGCAGAAGAAGCGCCGGAUAACUCCGUGCCAGCAGCCGCGGUAAUUC